Molecule: long non-coding RNA, 399 nt
Organism: Hemicordylus capensis (graceful crag lizard)
Lineage: Eukaryota; Metazoa; Chordata; Lepidosauria; Squamata; Cordylidae
Exons: 3
Source: RefSeq, a predicted model, not a curated record
AUGCACAGAUAUUGGAGGACAUGGCCAGAGAAUAUGCCAAGGCAGGUGGGUGUGGUCAACGGGCAUGUUUCUUCCCCGCUUCCAUGGAUUCACUGAACAUGCCGAGGGGAUUGUCUGAAGAGGACUGAAGGUUUGUCACUGGUCUCCAAUAUGCAGAUCUACUUCCCUUUGGCCUAGUGUCCAAAGGAGGUGAGGGGUGAGCAGUGGAGGAGGAAUCAACCUCAACAGCAACGGUACAGCAGAUGGGGGAGAGGCAGUAAAUGAGGCUCAGGUGCCAAUAAUCUGCAGGUGCCAACAAUGGAAACAGCCAAGCGAUUGCUUGCUAACUGCAAUCACCACAUAAAAUCAAGAAAAUUGUUUCAUGAAUUUACCCUGAUUACACAAAGUAUAAACAAGAAU